This 122-nucleotide ribosomal RNA is filed under the name Helianthus annuus (common sunflower). Lineage: Eukaryota; Viridiplantae; Streptophyta; Magnoliopsida; Asterales; Asteraceae. The record is from RNAcentral.
GGUUGUGAUUAUACCAGCACUAAUGCACCAGAUCCCAUCAGAACUCCGCAGUUAAGCGUGCUUGGGCGAGAGUAGUACUAGGAUGGGUGACCCCCCUGGGAAGUCCUCGUGUUGCAACCCCC